UGAAAACUGAUCUGAUAUUUCUAAAUUUCUUAGAAUGUAUUGACAGUGUUCUUUUUAACAGGGCCUCUUGUAGCUGUACUGUGACAACUGUUAACUUUGAAAUAUAGUGUCAUAAUAAACUAUGAACAAGAUCUGUAUGCAACCUUUUAAGAGAUGGAGUCUGUAAGUGACGCUGUGUAGAUGGGUGGGAUAGCUUAGCUGCUGUUUGUGAUGUGGAAAAGCGCAAGCUGCAAGGACAGUGAUUAACCAGUUUUAAAGAACCUAGGAUGUACUUCUUUGAUCCAUACUUUGCUAAGGAGACUCAUAAGACAGGACUUCAGCAGCCUAUUGAGUAUGGAGAAGUCAGCCUAAUUACAGAAUGACGAGGCAGCAAGAGCAACAGCUUCAACUCCAGAAAAGUGAAGGCAUAAGAUACUGUGCUGAUAGUGAGCAGCUUUCCAAGGCUAGUUAAAUCUGCUAAUCACAGCUGAAAUAUCGAAGAAAGUCUAGCAAGAGUUCUUCACCUCUUGGAACCUCCUUGAGUGAUAGCUACUUGAGUUGACUCAAAAUCAAUAGGUCUAGCAUUUAGACCUGAAAGGAAGGGCAAUGAGCAUAGGUAAGGUUUGCCUUUAAAAUUUUUCAUGAAUUAAAAAGAGUAGCGGGAGAUUUUUUAACAAGGUAAGAGUAAUUUCUUUAAUUUUCAGGUUGAAUGAAGCUGCUGCUUGACAAAAUGGGGAAUGUCUUGCACAUCCUCUCCAAUUGGAGGUUUCUGAAUGGUAAUCCAACUAUCACCAUAGAAGAAAAGUGGCCUUCAUGUAGAAGAUAAUAUCGCAAGAUUGGAAACAGAAUAAUGUAUUAAAAUACCUGGCAAAGACUUCAAGAGCAAUGGUGCUAAUGUGGUGAAAUCUUAAUACUUGUGGUUAAACAAGUUUAAAAAUAGCAUGAAUAUUACAAACUUCAGUAUAGUCCAUAAUGGAUUGAAAUUUGUUAAAAUACUUCAUUUUUGUAUCAGAAUAAAGUGUAUAUUGUCAAAUGACUUAAACCUG
This is a non-coding RNA of Tinamus guttatus (white-throated tinamou), 1025 nucleotides long. Lineage: Eukaryota; Metazoa; Chordata; Aves; Tinamiformes; Tinamidae. The record is from RefSeq and is a predicted model, not a curated record.